UUCUAUUUCUCUUAACUCUAGGAGAAGCUUUCUCAACACUCUGAUACAUCAAGCGGAUUUGGAUUUCUUUAACAACUAAGGUUCCUGUUUUUAAUAUUUAAAACAAAAGGCUUUUAACCCUUCUUCUUUAGCUAACAAGAACCUCAUUCUUUUCUUUAACAUUCCCAAAACCUUUACUAGAUUUUUUUUUUCUAACUUCUUUAGCUUACUUCCCCUAGAAUUCUUUCCCUUUCCUUAUCAACAAUGAAUUCACCCUUUUCUUUUAAACACAUCCCAACCCAUGAUAUAAGCGCCCACCAAUCCUAUCCUGUCCGAAAAACGCGAACUAGAACUACAUGAGACACUAUCUCUCUCGUUACGAACCUAACACUUUCUACCAAGCUCAAUGGAAAUAAGACCUCACAAACACUCACAAGUGAUAUAGGGCUUGAAAGAGAGUUUAGGUUUGGGUUCGGGUUAACUGCUCUAAUAAGGAGAGUCAACUACUUGGAUUAACAAGAGUGGUUAAAAUGAGUAAGAAAAUCCAAGUAUUUUAGGGUAUCCAUGUGUUCAAAUUCAAUGCCAAGACAUGAUAAUUCUAAAUCAGAUUCAAGUUCAAAUUGAUAGGGAAUGGUAUUAGAUCCUAACAGUGUGGUCGAGUAGAGCAAUCUAGGCAUGGUGCAGUUUUACUUCAAUUUCAUUGACUACGCAUCAAACAACUAACAACGAGGGCACUGAGCUUAUCUGGUGAACCAAAAUGCUUACAAGGCUAUCUCAUCAUUAUCCCCUAUGCAUAUGCAACAAUCCUAAACGAAAUACUCUACACUCGAUCCUAAAUGCAAUGCAACUACAUGAACACUCUAUUUUUGUGAAAUCAUUUUCUGAAAUUUUUCAAUUUUUUUGGUUUUUUCUAUGCCUCAGAUGAAUGCAGACUCAAGAUUAUAUACAAUGAAACACACACUUCCUGAGUCCUCCCCCAAACUUAAAUCACACAGUCCACUGUGUGAUCAAAUUUGGAAAAGAGUACUCAGGACAAAACACAUCAUAGAAACAAAAUAAAAACAGGAGAUGGUAUAUUACAAUGGUGGAGUGAGGUGCUUACCUCAGUGGAAGAAGGAGCAAAUUUGGUCGUCAAUAGCUGCCUGUGAUUGCUCCCAGGCCAUCGAAGAAUCUCCCUGUUGUGUCUCAGCUUCCGCCUGGGGGUAUUCAACCUCUGCUCCUUCGUCACGGCCAGCACCGCUCUGAUGAUACUCGACCUCUCUUCUUCUGCUGCGGCCAGCACCGCGGUCGAGUGAUUUACUGACAUGGAGAAGUUUUGAUUGCAUAACUCGCUAUACUCGAUCACAUCGUCAUUCGGUCCCUGUAGGGUGUGGUCGAGUGAUUUCCUGGGGUGGGGAAACCAGAACAAUGUCGAGUGUCCUUGAUAACUCCGUGGUCGAGUGUAUCUUUGUUCCCUCAAAGCCAGAAUCUAUUUCCCUUAGCUCUUCAUACUUAUCUCCUGAAAACACUAACAAGAUGCAUCAAAAACAACAAGGAAAAUUAAAGAUAUGUACAAAGAUAGGCAUGAGACUUCCUCCCAAGUGAGCUUGUUUUAGGUCUCUAACUUGACUCCUCAUACUCAUUAAGCGUUUAUAGGCUCCUCCAAAGGAACAGAAGCUCCUUCUGGAAUAAACUGAUCUAUCAUGUAUUUCUUGAGCCGCUAGCCAUUGACUGUGAAGUCUCCAUUCUUUCCAGCUAGAGUGAUAGCACCAUAAGGUCAGACUGCAGUAACAGAGAAAGGACCAGACUAUCUAGACUUGAGCUUGCUUGGAAAAAGCCUUAGGCGAGAGUUGAACAGCAACACUUGAUCACCAACCUUAAAAUCUCUUGAGACUAUCUUCUUGUCAUGGAAAGACUUGGUUCGCUCCUUGUAGAUUUUGGAACUCUCAUAAGCUUCUAAGCGAAUCUCGUUGAGAUCGUUCAGUUAGAUCAACCGCUUCUCCUCGACGGUUUUAAUGUCAAAGUUCAGGAGUUUAACUGCCCACAUGGCUUUAUACUCGAGUUCAACAGGCAAAUGACAGGAUUUUCCAUAGAGGAGGUUGAAAGGAGUCGUGCCAAUAGGGGUUUUGAAGGCUGUUCUGUAAGCCCAUAGUGCGUCAUCGAGUUUAGAAGACCAAUCUCUCCUUGUAAUUCCCACUGUUUUCUCUAGAAUUGCUUGUAUCUCCCUGUCUGAGAUUUCCACCUGCCCGCUCGUCUGUGGAUGAUAAGGAGUGGCUACCUUGUCCUUUACUCCAUGCUUCUUUAAAAGGUUCUCAAAAACCUUGUUGAUAAAAUGUUUCCCUCCGUCACUGAUUACAACUCUCGGGACUCCAAAUCUAGGGAAGAUAAUUGUCUUGAACAGCUUUAACACAACUCUAGCAUCAUUGGUGGGGCUAGCUAUGGCUUCCACCCAUUUUGAUACAUAGUCUACUGCGACCAGUAUGUACUUGUUCCCGUAAGAAGAAGGAAAUAGACCCAUAAAAUCAAUUCCCCAAACGUCAAAGAUCUCAACUUCUAGGAUCGGAUUCUGAGGCAUCUCAUUCCUUCUGCUUAUGUUCCCUCUUCUCUGACAUGAGUCACAUUUCGAGAUAAAUUCUUGAGCAUCCUUAAACAUUGUCGGCCACCAAAAACCAGCUUGAAGGAUUUUUGACACUGUCUUGAACGUUGCAAAGUGGCCACCAUAGGCAGACCCAUGGCAGUGCAGUAGGAUGCCUUCGAUUUCGUCUUCUGAGACACAUCUCUUGUAGAUCUUAUUUUUGCAGAGUGUGUAGAGAUAAGGUUCGUCCCAGUAAAAAUGGUUAAUGUCCUUGAAGAACUUCUUCUUCUCAUAGCUCGAAAGAUUUGGGGGCUCUUCACCACUAACCAGGUAAUUGACGUGAUCAGCAUACCACAGAAGCUUUUCUUCAAUUGCACAUACUUGAUCGAGUGAUUUCCGAAUUUGACCACUUUCUUUAAGUUGCUGAAUUGCCAUUAGCUGUUCUUCUGGCAUGGAGUCGUCAAUAGGGACCUCGUCUUCAAUUCUCAUUCUAGACAGAUGAUCAGCUACACCGUUUUCAAUUCCCUUCUUAUCAACGAUCUCCAUGUCAAACUCUUGGAGCAAUAAGAUCCAUCUCAACAUCCUAGGUUUGGUAUCCUUCUUCGCAUAUAUAUGCCUCAGAGCAGCAUGAUCAGUGUAGACUAUCACCUAAGAGCCCACCAGGUAGCUUCUAAAUUUCUUGAAUGCAAAUACCACAGCUAGCAGUUCCUUCUCUGUGGUGGCAUACCUUACUUGUGCAUCAUCCAUCGUUCUACUCGCGUAGUAGAUCACAUGCAGCUUUUUAUCAAUCCGCUGGCCCAGAACUGCUCCUACUGCAUAAUCUGAAGCAUCUCACAUGAUCUCGAAUGGGAAGUCCCAGUUUGGAGCUUGGACUAUUGGGGCAGUGACCAAAGCUUCCUUGAUUAACUUAAAGGCUGUCAAACAUUCUUCAUCAAAUGCGAACUCGGUUUCCUUGCACAGCAGUCUGGUGAGCGGUCUUGCCAACUUGGAGAAAUCCUUGAUGAAUCUUCUGUAAAAUCCUGCAUGUCCAAGAAAACUCCUGAUGUCCAAGAAAACUCCUGAUGUCCUUGAAAGUAUUUGGUGGCUGUAACUGCAUCAUCACGUCAACCUUAGCCUUAUCAACCUCUAUUCCCUCCUCAGAAAUUUUGUGCCCCAAAACGAUGCCUUCUUUAACCAUAAAAUGGCAUUUCUCCAAGUUCAGCACCAGGUUUGUCUCUUCACAUCUUUUGAGUACCCUGCAUAGGUUCGACAAACACGAGGAGAAGAAAGAGCCAUACACAGAAAAAUCAUCCAUGAAUACCUCCACCAUCUCCUCUAUCAAAUCUGAGAAAAUGGAAGUCAUACACCGCUGAAAAGUAGCAGGUGCAUUACAGAGACCGAAAGGCAUACGCUUGUAAGCAAAGGUCCCAUAAGGACAAGUAAAAGUAGUUUUCUCUUGGUCAUUUGGGUGAAUAGGGAUUUGAAAAAAUCUGCUAUAGCCAUCCAAGAAGCAAUAGUAAGGAUGGUUUGCUAAUCUUUCUAGCAUCUGAUCAAUGAAGGGCAAUGGGAAAUGGUCUUUUCUAGAGGCAGCAUUUAACUUCCUAUAAUCAAUACACAUCCUAUGUCUAGUUAUAGUCCUAGUGGGUAUCAGUUCAUCUUUAUAAUUUUUAAUAACUGGCAUACCUCCUUUUUUAGGAGCGCAGUGAACUGGAGAUACCGAAGUGCUAUCAGAGAUAGGGUAAGUAUCUCCUUUUUCACAACCUCUUUCAAGUUUGGGUUUAAUCUCCUUUGAGGUUUAAUGCUAGAGUAGGAUUCAUUUUCAAGAUGGAUUAUAUGGGUGCAUAAGGUGGGUGAAAUCCCCUUAAUAUCAUCUAACGAGUAUCCUAUAGCUCUCCUAUACUUCUUGAGCUCAGUUAUCAGCAGGUUUACUUGAUCAGUAGUUAGCUCGUCAUUCACUAUGACAGGAUAAGUAGAGUUUAGUCCAAGAAAAACGUACCUUAGCCCUUUUGGUAGCGUUUUCAAAUCUACUUUGGGUGCCUUGAGUUCAGACCAGUCAUCGGAUACUAAGUUGGCUUCAGAGGAGGGGUUGUGAUCGAGUAGUUCGGUCGAGUACACUGAAUGGUCUAUUGGUCGAGUGAUGUGGUCGAGUAUAUUGAUAAGUGUGUAUUUUACAUGUUUUGAGCAUCCAUUUGUCAUCAAUUUAGCAUCAUAUCAUCAAUGUUUCAUACCAUUUCUCAUCAUUUGUCAUCACUUUACAUGUUUAGGAUAGAUUUGCAUGCAUGUUGCAUAUUUGCGUUGAUUUCAGGUGAUUUGGAGUUGUUGACGAGCUAUCUGGAAGAAGCGGGCCUGAUCAUGACAAACCACUCGACCCCAAGGUCGAGUAGGAGCUUCAAGAUCUCAACAGAUCACUUGACCCCGCGGUCGAGUAGAGGACAUCACUACUUCACCACAUCACUCGACCCCGAGGUCGAGUGUCUUCAUCCCAUCACCUGACCAUCACUUGAUCACAUCACUCGACCCCGAGGUCGAGUGUCUUCACCUUCAUUGCCAGACCACUACUCGACCUUUUCACUCUACCUGGAAGUCGAAUAUCACCAUCACCACCACUCGACUGCAUACUCGAUGAUAAGCUUCAGAGCCUUCUUCAUUCCACACUCAAUCAGACACUCGAGCACAAGGAAGAAAAGAAGACUCCAGUUAUUCACUCGACCUCCCACUCGACCUCCGGCUAUUAGGGUUUCGGAAUAUUUGGCUAUAAGUAGCAUGUACUUCACAUUUUCGCAGACCAGUUUUCAUCUAGUUUUAUUCCGCAGACCUUGUGUUCUAGAUCUUUUGUAAUUCAGAUUUCUCUAUAUCUAUUCGGUAUUCAGUAUUCAGCUUUUGUUCUUGAUUUCAUUUACUGUUGUUCAUUCUGUUAUCAUCCUGCUGUUACACUGUUGUUAUCAUGUUUUCAACUUGUUCAACGUUUAUGCUUUCUGUUAUGAUGUCUGAGUAGUGAAUAGGUUUCUUAGGAUGGGUUAGAGUAGUGUAGAAUUCUCAGUAUGCUAGGUGAUUGAGUAUUGAUUGAUAGAUCCCUUCUGGAUUAGUUGUUCUUAAUGCCUAUUGCUUUAUGAUCAACUGAAAUUUGAGCACAGACAUUUCCGCGCCCAAAAGGUGUUCGAUGAAAUGUCUGAACCAAGGUAUUGGUUGCAGGGAGCGUUUUGGCUUUAACUUGUUGAUUCGUAAUGCCUGUUAGAUUAGCUUUCGUCAAUGGUGAUUGAGUCUGGGACUAGGUUAACUUGAGGGUCUCUGUUACGGUAGCACUUAGAUUUGGUUAAUGAACUUGUUGUCUAGGGUUAAUUUAUUGAGCAUGUCAAUCACCUGUGAACUUGUUGUUGAGGAAACGAAACUACUCAAUUACCCCAUCCUCGGGAAUUCUUUAUCUGAUUGAAUUCUUUGUUUACUCUACUGUUGUUUACUGCAUCUUGUUAUCUGUCGCUUAAUUUCUGCAAUUCUUUCUUAUUACUCGACCUCAUACUCGACCACCCAGUUGUCUGGCAAUAGACUGUGCAGUCGAGUAUCUGUGUUAUACUUUCUGUCUGUUACUCGACCUGUCACUCGACCUCACCCAGUGCUGGCAAUAGAGCUGUGUUGGUCGAGUGUUUUACUGUUUCUGUUUGAUUUUCUGUUUUCUGCAUGAUCACUUAGGACUGCUAGAACACACCAAAAUUUGUUAUUGCUUAGCUUGACUUAGUGACUUCUGAUCACAUCUUGAUUGUUAGCAUCACACCCAUUUGGAUUGACAACCUAAAAUACUAUAACGACAUGAUUGGUGUUUUGGGAUAAUUGACUAAAAACCUAUUAUCAAUUUGGCGUUGUUGCCAAUUGGGUGUUUGUUUGUUACAUUUGAGAUUUCAGACUUGCUUAGAUCAAGUUCUUGUUCAAUUUUCUUUUCUGUUACUAACUGUGUGUUUUUCUUGUUGUCUUCUUGAUCCAGGUACACCUCUACUGUAUGCAAACUCGAUCAACAGGCAAUCAGAACCUCCUUUUCAACGACAACAUCGACCGCAUAGCUCGCGAACUCAGAGAAAGGAAAAACACAGUCAACCUUGUACCUUAGCAACCACUCGAAAUGGCUGACGAACAGAAUCAACAAAAUGGCCCUACCAACAUUGGUGCUGGAGAUGCACCACGUUAUCACCGUCAGAGGAAAGGAAUAGCACCUCCUGCUAUCCAGAACAACAACUUCGAGAUUAAGAGUGGUCUCAUCUCGAUGAUUUAGGGGAACAAAUUCCAUGGACUGCCAAUGCAGGAUCCACUCGACCACCUUGAUGAAUUCGAUAGGCUCUACAACCUGACAAAGAUCAAUGGUGUCAGUGAAGACGGAUUCAAGCUCCGUUUGUUUCCAUUCUCCUUGGGCGAAAAAGCACACAUCUGGGAGAAGAAUUUGCCCCAUGACUCAAUCACCACCUGGGAUGAUUGUAAGAAGGCUUUUCUAUCAAAGUUCUUCUCCAAUGCCAGAACUGCAAGACUGAGAAAUGAGAUUUCUGGUUUUACACAGAAGACUGGUGAAAGCUUAUGUGAAGCAUGGGAGCGUUUCAAGGGUUACACCAACCAAUGCCCUCAUCAUGGCUUUACUAAAGCCUUUCUACUCAGCACUCUUUACAGAGGAGUCCUACCACGCAUCAAAAUGCUUCUGCAUACCGCCAGCAAUGGGAAUUUCCAGAACAAGGAUGUUGAAGAAGGCUGGGAAUUGGUUGAGAACCUCGCUCAAUCAGAUGGCAAUUACAACGAGGACUGUGAUAGGACCGUCAGAGGAACAGCUAACUCUGAUGACAAACACAGGAAGGAGAUCAAAGCGCUGAAUGACAAGCUGGACAGGAUUCUUCUUAGCCAGCAGAAGCAUGUGCACUUCCUUGUUGAUGACGAGCAGUAUCAAGUCCAAGAUGGGGAGGGUAACCAGUUGGAAGAAGUCAACUACAUCAACAACAACCAGAGUGGCUACAAAGGGUAUAACAACUUCAAAACCAACAACCCCAACCUCUCCUACCGCAGCACCAACGUUGCUAAUCCUCAGGAUCUAGUCUAUCCUCCACAGCAACAACAAGGUCAGAACAAACCUUUUGUUCCCUACAAUCAAGGUUUCGUUCCUAAGCAGCAAUUUCUGGGGAACUACCAGCCGCCACCACCACCUGGGUUUACACAUCAGCAAAACCAAGGUUCUGCUGCUCCUGAGGCUGAUAUGAAACAAAUGCUACAACAGCUGCUUCACGGGCAAGCCUCUAGCUCCAUGGAGAUGGCAAAGAAGAUAUCUGAGUUACAUAACAAGCUGGACUGUAGCUACAAUGAUCUCAAUGUCAAGAUGGAAACACUGAAUACCAAAGUCCGAUACUUAGAGGGACAUUCUGCAUCUUCUUCAGCUCCAAAACAGACAAGCCAACUACCAUGCAAAGCAGUUCAGAAUCCAAAAAAAUAUGCUCAUGCUAUCACACUGCGUAGUGGAAAAGCACUUCCAACUAGGGAGGAACCAAAGACGGUCACUGAGGACAGUGAAGAUCAAGAUGGGGAGGAUUUAAGUCUCGAGAAAGAUCAAGCUGACAAACCACUCGAGCAACCACUCGAUCUGCCACUCGACAACUUUACUCAACCAACAACUCGACCUAUCUUCCCAGCAGCAUCAACAACUGCUCCAAAACAAGUUGCUGUCAAAAACAAAGAAAAGGUCUUUGUCCCUCCUCCCUACAAACCACAGCUUCCAUUUCCUGGCCGUCACAAGAAAGCUUUGGCAGAUAAAUAUAGAGCUCUGUUUGCCAAGAAUAUUAAGGAGGUUGAGUUGCGGAUACCUCUUGUUGACGCUCUAGCGCUAAUCCCAGACUCUCACAAGUUUCUGAAAGACUUGAUUGUGGAGAGAAUUCAAGAAGUGCAAGGGAUGGUGGUAUUGAGUCAUGAAUGCAGUGCUAUCAUACAAAAGAAGAUCAUUCCUAAGAAGCUUAGUGAUCCUGGUUCAUUCACUCUACCAUGCUCUUUAGGUCCAUUGGCUUUCAAUAGAUGCCUAUGCGAUUUAGGAGCAUCAGUCAGUCUCAUGCCGCUCUCUGUCGCCAAAAGAUUGGGGUUCACUCAAUACAAGUCCUGCAAUAUAUCCCUCAUCCUAGCUGACAGAUCAGUAAGGAUCCCUCAUGGUUUGCUUGAAAACCUCCCAAUCAGGAUCGGUGUUGUGGACAUACCAACUGACUUUGUAGUCGUGGAGAUGGAUGAAGAGCCCAAGGACCCUUUGAUUCUAGGGAGACCUUUCUUAGCCACUGCAGGAGCUAUGAUUGAUGUCAAGAAAGGGAAGAUUAAUCUAAAUCUUGGCAAAGACUUUAGGAUAACCUUUGAUGUCAAAGACGCGAUGAAGAAGCCUACCAUAGAAGGGCAACUCUUUUGGAUCAAAGAAAUAGAUCAGUUAGCCGAUGAAUUACUGGAAGAGCUGGCAGAAGAAGAUCAUCUUAACAGUGCUUUAACCAAAAGUGGUGAAGAUGGUUUUCUGCAUUUGGAAACAUUGGGAUACUAGAAGCUGUUAGACUCCCAUAAAGCGAUGGAAAAAUCAGAACGCUUUGAGGAAUUGAAUGGACCAGCAACGGAGGUAAUGGUAAUGAGCGAAGAAGGGUCAACUCGAGUUCAACCUGCACUCUCGAGGACGUACUCGACCAGCCACUCGACCUUGUCUGCCAACGAAUCUGGGGAGCCGAUCAUUCCAACUUUAGAUGACUGGUCUGAACUUAAGGCACUGAAGGUUGAUCUCAAACCACUUCCUAAAGGUCUAAGGUACGCAUUCCUUGGUCCAAACUCUACUUACCCUGUGAUCAUUAAUGCUGAGUUAAAUAGUGAUGAAGUGAACCUGCUAUUAUCUUAGCUUAGAAAGUAUAGGAGAGCGAUUGGUUAUUCAUUAUCCGACAUUAAGGGAAUUUCACCUAGUUUAUGCAACCAUAGGAUCCAUCUUGAAAACGAAUUCUAUUCUAGCAUUGAACCACAAAGGAGGUUAAAUCCCAAUUUGAAAGAAGUAGUGAAAAAAUAAAUUUUGAAACUGCUUGAUGCUGGUGUCAUCUACCCUAUCUCUGAUAGUACAUGGGUUUCUCCAGUGCAUUGCGUCCCUAAAAAGGGUGGAAUGAUGUUGUCAAAAAUGAAAAAGAUGAACUGAUCCCUACUAGAACUAUAACUGGUCAUAGAAUGUGCAUUGAUUAUAGGAAGUUGAAUGCUCCAUAUAGGAAAGAUCAUUUUCCUUUACCAUUCAUUGACCAAAUGCUUGAACGUUUAGCUAAUCAUCCAUACUAUUGCUUUCUUGAUGGAUACAGUGGUUUCUUUCAAAUACCAAUUCACCCUAAUGAUCAAGAAAAAAACACUUUCACAUGUCCUUAUGGAACUUUUGCUUAUAAGAGAAUGCCAUUUGGUUUAUGCAAUGCUCCUGCAACAUUUCAGAGGUGUAUGACCUCUAUAUUUUCAGACUUAAUCGAGGAGAUGGUGGAGGUUUUCAUGGAUGAUUUUUCGGUCUAUGGCCCCUCUUUCUCGUCAUGUUUGUUGAAUCUUGGCAGGGUAUUGACUAGGUGCGAAGAGACGAAUCUUGUUCUCAAUUGGGAAAAGUGUCAUUUCAUGGUGAAGGAAGGCAUAGUGCUGGAUCACAAGAUAUCAGAGAAGGGUAUAGAGGUUGACAAAGGAAAAGUUGAAGUGAUGAUGCAGUUGCAGCCACCAAAAACGGUGAAGGACAUCAGAAGUUUCCUUGGUCAUGCUGGGUUCUACAGAAGAUUUAUUAAAGACUUCUCCAAGAUAGCCAGGCCGUUAACUAGACUAUUGUGCAAGGAAACAG
This 10331-nucleotide small RNA is filed under the name Arabidopsis thaliana (thale cress). RNAcentral describes it as "ATSL040410". The record is from RNAcentral. Lineage: Eukaryota; Viridiplantae; Streptophyta; Magnoliopsida; Brassicales; Brassicaceae.